Molecule: ribosomal RNA, 495 nt
Filed under: uncultured bacterium
Lineage: Bacteria
Description: partial 16S ribosomal RNA
Rfam family: Bacterial small subunit ribosomal RNA
Source: RNAcentral
GAUGAACGCUGGCGGCGUGCCUAAUACAUGCAAGUAGAACGCUGAAGGAGGAGCUUGCUCUUCUGGCUGAGUUGCGAACGGGUGAGUAACGCGUAGGUAACCUGCCUGGUAGCGGGGGAUAACUAUUGGAAACGAUAGCUAAUACCGCAUGACAACAGUUAUUGCAUGAUAACUGUUUAAAAGGGGCAACUGCUCCACUACCAGAUGGACCUGCGUUGUAUUAGCUAGUUGGUGAGGUAACGGCUCACCAAGGCGACGAUACAUAGCCGACCUGAGAGGGUGAUCGGCCAAACUGGGACUGAGACACGGCCCAGACUCCUACGGGAGGCAGCAGUAGGGAAUCUUCGGCAAUGGACGGAAGUCUGACCGAGCAACGCCGCGUGAGUGAAGAAGGUUUUCGGAUCGUAAAGCUCUGUUGUAAGAGAAGAACGAGUGUGAGAGUGGAAAGUUCACACUGUGACGGUAUCUAACCAGAAAGGGACGGCUAACUACGUG